This 884-nucleotide long non-coding RNA is filed under the name Homo sapiens (human). Its description in RNAcentral is "non-protein coding lnc-TLL2-2:1". The record is from RNAcentral. Lineage: Eukaryota; Metazoa; Chordata; Mammalia; Primates; Hominidae.
AGAAAUGGAUGAUAUGGAUAGAGACCUAGGAGAUGAAUAUGGAUGGAAACAGGUGCAUGGAGAUGUAUUUAGACCAUCAAGUCACCCACUGAUAUUUUCCUCUCUGAUUGGUUCUGGAUGUCAGAUAUUUGCUGUGUCUCUCAUCGUUAUUAUUGUUGCAAUGAUAGAAGAUUUAUAUACUGAGAGGGGAUCAAUGCUCAGUACAGCCAUAUUUGUCUAUGCUGCUACGUCUCCAGUGAAUGGUUAUUUUGGAGGAAGUCUGUAUGCUAGACAAGGAGGAAGGAGAUGGAUAAAGCAGAUGUUUAUUGGGGCAUUCCUUAUCCCAGCUAUGGUGUGUGGCACUGCCUUCUUCAUCAAUUUCAUAGCCAUUUAUUACCAUGCUUCAAGAGCCAUUCCUUUUGGAACAAUGGUGAGUUGCUUGAAUCUUACUUUUAAACUGAAAAAGUAUACACAUUCUAACUGAGACCUACUCACCCUCCAAAAUACUUCUUAUUAGAUGUUUUGAUGGUUUCAGUCAGUUCAUACUCAGUCCUGGAAAGUUAGAUGAGGAGAAUACUACUGUUGUUAGCCUCCAUAAAAUUUUGGUUAAGUUUAAACCUAUAGUUGGCUUUUUAUUUUUUCUUGAUUCUGUAAGCCAGUAAAGUGAAAGGCUGACUUUAAAAGAGAGCACUAUAGCUUUUUAUCAGAGAUGGGAAGAACUGGUGAAUAUAUUUUAGAGAAAGAAUCAUGACAAUCACAAAACAUGGGUGUUUUAAGAUGAUAGGUGAGUGCAGUGGUAGAAAGUAAAGCUUUUCCAUGACACAUUUUUUUGUAUUAACAUACUUUUCUUAGAAAGUCACUAAGCAUUGGCCAGGCGCGGUGGCUCACACCUUUAAUCCCAGCAC